ACACGUCUACAUUAGAUACCCCUGUAGUCCCAGCCGUAAACUAUGCGCGUUAGGUGUAUCGGUGACCACGAGUUACCGAGGUGCCGAAGGGAAACCGUGAAACGUGCCGCCUGGGAAGUACGGUCGCAAGGCUGAAACUUAAAGGAAUUGGCGGGGAGCACCACAACAGGUGGAGCCUGCGGUUUAAUUGGACUCAACGCCGGGAAGCUCACCGGAUAGGACAGCAGAAUGAUUGCCGGGCUGAAGACCCUGCAUGACUAGCUG
RNAcentral lists this ribosomal RNA (264 nucleotides) under uncultured archaeon. RNAcentral describes it as "partial 16S ribosomal RNA". It matches the Rfam family "Archaeal small subunit ribosomal RNA", at positions 717 to 982 of the family's 1478-position model. The record is from RNAcentral.